Homo sapiens (human) is the source of this 7005-nucleotide long non-coding RNA. Ensembl annotates it as small nucleolar RNA host gene 14. Its record names the gene SNHG14. The record is from Ensembl. NCBI's taxonomy places the organism in Eukaryota, Metazoa, Chordata, Mammalia, Primates, Hominidae.
CCUGAGUUGGGUCGAUGAUGAGAACCUUAUAUUAUCCUGAAGAGAGGUGAUGACUUAAAAAUCAUGCUCAAUAGGAUUACGCUGAGGCCCAGUCUAGGUGAGAGUUUUGGAAGAGGAUGCUGGGAUCCUGAGGUCCCCUGGUAGAGCCAAUUGUAUUUUGGGCUGGAGACCUGGAAGCCCUGAAGGGCAUCUGGGAGGCCCAACCCUGUCUCUGUGCUCCUCCAUGAGGCAGCCCUGGCUCCCCAUGUAGGCUUGGUGAUGGCCUUCCUGUUCCCUGGGGGUGGGGCACAUGGGUAGCUCCUCCCUGACCCCCAUUCUCUCCUGUGUCUUUCAGUGAGCUCUUCCCCACAGGUGGGCCCCCUGGCAUUGACUAGCAUCGUGAGCUCUUCUGCCCAGCAGCCUCCCUGGCAGUGACCAGCAUAGAUGCUGACCCUGGAGGAAGAAUUGCACUGGGCCCACUGGCCCCGGGAAAAUGUCCCUCAGCCAGGUGCUUAGCCCCUGGUAAUCUGAAGCUCAGGCCCUUCCUGAUGCCCUGGUCUCCUGCACUGAGCUGUGUGAGCUCUUCAGCCCAGGUGGGCUCCCUGACACUGAUGCGCAUAGAUGGUGAGCCUGGAGGAAGACUUGCAUUGGGCCCAAUGGACCCAGGCCAGUGGCCAUCAGCCAGGUGCCCACCCUGGUGUGCUGAAGCGCGGGACCUACCUGUUGUCCUGGUUUCCUACACUGAGCUGAGUGAGCUCUUCAACCCAGGCGGGGCACCCUGGCAUUCACCAGCAUAGACUGUGAAAUGGGAGGAAGAAUUGUGUUGGGCCCAAUGGCCCUGGGCCAGUAUCCGUCAGCCUGGUGUCCAGCCCCUGGUGUGCUGAAGCUCAUGCCCUUCCUGGUGCCCUAGUUUCCUGCACUGAGCUUGUGAGCUCUUUUGCCCAGAAGACUCCCUGGCAUUGAUCGGCAUAGAUGGCAGCGCUGGAGGAGGACUUGUACUGGGGCCGCUGGCCCCACAUCAGUGUCCGUCAUCCCGGCGUCCAGCCCCUGGUGUGCUGAAGCUCAGGCCCUUCCUUGUGCCCUAGUCUCCUGCACUGAGCUUGUGAGCUCUUCUGCUCAGGCGGGUCCCCUGGCAUUGACCAGCAUAGAUGGUGGCCCUGGAGGAGGACUUGUAUUGGGGCCACUGGCCCCACGUCAGUGUUCGUCAGCCUGGCAUCCAGCCCCUGGUGUGCUGAAGCUCAGGCCCUUCCUGUUGCCCUAGUCUCCUGCACUGAGCUUGUGAGCUCUUCUGCCCAGGUGGUCCCCCUGGUCUUGAUGGGCAUAGAUGGUGAGCCUGAAGGAAGACUUGCAUCAGGACCAAUGGACCCUGGCAAGUGUCCGUCAGCCAGGUGCUCAGCCCCUGGUGCACUGAAGCUCAGGCCCUUCCUGGCCCCUUGAUCUCCUGCACUGAGCUGUGUGAGCUCUUCUGCCAAGGGGGGGCCUCCUGGCAUUGACCAACAUAGAUGGUGAGCCUGGAGGAAGAUUUGCAUUGGGCCCAAUGGCCCUGGGCCAGUGUCUGUCAGCCAGUUUCCCAGCCCCUGGUGCACUGAAGCUCAGGCCUUUCCUGGCAUCCUGGCCUCCUGCACUGAGCUGUGUGAGUGCUUCUGCCCAGGCAGGCCACUUGGCAUUGACCGGUAUAGAUGGUGAGCCUGGAGGAAGAUGUGUGGGACCCGCAGGCCGAGGGCCAGUGUCUCUCAGCCAGGUGCUCAGCCCCCAGUGGGCUGAAACUCUGACCCUUCCUGGCACCCUGCUCUCCUGCACUGUGCUGUGAUGGUGAGACUUCUGUUGGGCUUGCUUUUCCUGGGCCAGUGUCCAUCAGCCAGGUGCUCAGCCAUCGGUGCGCUGAAGCUCCAGCCCUUCCUGGUGCCCUGAUCUCCUGCACUGAGCUGUGAUGAUGAGCUCUUUCACCUAGGAGGGCCCCUUGGCAUUGACUGGCAUAGAUGGUGACCCUGAAGAAAGACUUCAGUUGGGCCUGAAGGCCCCGGGCCAGUGUCCAUCAUCCAGGUGCUCAGCUCCCAGUGCACUGAAGCUCAGACCCUUCCUGGUUCCCUGGUCUCUUGCACUGAGCUCUGAUGGUGAGACUUGAGGAAGACUUCCACUGGGCCUGCUUUUCCUGAGCCAGUGCCCAUCACCCAGGUGCUCAGUCCCUGGUGCACUGAAGCUCCAGCCCUUCCUGGCGCCCUGGUCUCCUGAACUGAGCUGUGUGAGCUCUUCUGCCAAGCGGUUCCCCUGGCAUUGACCAACAUAGAUGGUGAGCCUGGAGGAAGACUUGCGUUGGGCCCAAAGGCCCUAGACCAGUGUCUGUCAGCCAGGUUCCCAACCCCCGAUGCGCUGAAGCUCAAGCCUUUCCUGGCACCCUGGUCUCCUGCACUGAGCUGUGUGAGCUCUUCUGCCCAGGCGGGCCCCCUGGAAUUGAUGGGUAUAGAUGGUGACCCCGGAGGAAAAUUUGUGUUGGGCCCACUAUCCCUGGGCCAAUGUCAGUCAGCUAGGCACCCAGCCCCCAGUGCGCUGAAGCUCAGGACCUUCCUAGUGCCCUCGGCUCCUGCACUGAGCUCUGAUGGUAAGCCUGGAGGAAGACUUGUGUUGGGCCCACAGGCCCCAGGCCAAUGUCUGUCAGCCAGGUGCUCAGCCUCUGGUGCGCUGAAACUCUGACCCUUCCUGGCACACUGGUCUCCUGCACUGAGCUGGGAUUUUCCACCUAGGAGGUCCACCUGGCAUUGACUGACAUAGAUGGUGAGACUUCUGUCGGCCUCGCUUUUCCUGGGCCAGUGUCCAUCAGCCAGGUGCUCAGCCCCAGUGCACUGAAGCUCCAGCCCUUCCUGGCGCCCUGGACUGAGCUGUGUGAGCUCUUCUGCCAAGGGGGUCCUCCUGGCAUUGACCAACAUAGGUGGUGAGCCUGGAGGAAGACUUGCAUUGGGCCCAAUGGCCCUGGACCAGUGUCUGUCAGCCAGGUUCCCAGCCCCCGAUGCGCUGAAGCUCAAGCCUUUCCUGGCACCCUGGUCUCCUGCACUGAGCUGUGUGAGCUCUUCGGCCCAAGUGGUCCCCCCGGCCUUAAGCGGCAUAGUGAGCUCUUCCAAACAGGUGGGCUCCCUAGCAUUGACCGACAGAGUGAGCUCUGCCACCCAGGACAUCCCCCUGGCAUUGACUGGCAUAGAUGCUGACCCUGGAGGAAGACUUGUGUCGGGCCCCCAGGCCCCAGGCCAGUGUCCAUCAGCCAGGUGCUCAGCUCCCAGUGCGCUGAAGCUCAGACCCUUCCUGGCACCCUGGUGUCCAGCACUGAGCUGUGUGAGCUUUUCCACCCAGGUGGGCCCCCUGGCAUUGACCGACAUAGAUGAUGAGACUGGAGGAAGACUUCCAUUGGGCCCACUUUUCCUGGGCCAGUGUCCAUCAGCCAGGUGCUCAGCCCCUGGUGUACUGAAGCUCCAGCCUUUCCUGGUGCCCCAGUCUUCUGCACUAAGCUGUGUGAGCUCUUCCACCCAGGAGGGCCCCUUGGCAUUGACUGGCAUAGAUGGUGAGACGGGAGGAAGACUUGUGUUGGGCCUGCUGUUCCUGGGCCAGUGGCCAUCAGCCUGUUGCCCAGCCCCUGAGGCGCUGAAGCUCAGGCCCUUCCUCACACCCUGGUCUCCUGCACUAGCUGUGUGAGCUCUUCUGCCCAGGUGGGGCCCAUGGCCUUACACGACAUAGGAGCACGCAUUUCUUGAAGUCCUGCAAAGGUGAUGGUGGUCCAGACAGGAGAGGGUUCCUUCAGCCCAACAUAGCGCAGCUCCCAGCUGAAACUCGGAAGGCUGGUCAGGCCUCGAGGACUGCCCAGGCCACAUGAGGGUUUGGUGGCCGGGAGGGCCAAUGAUGCUCUGCGUCUGUGUUGGAUCAGUGUUCUUCAUGGAUUCCAUCACAUGGUGAGCCUUGAGGAAGACUUGUAUUGGGCCCCCACAGGCCCCAGGCCAGUGUCCGUCAGCCUGGUGCUCACCCCCAGUGUGCUGAAGCUCAGACCCUCCGUGGCACCCUGGUCUCCUGCACUGAGCUGUGUGAACUUUUCCUCCCAGAUGGGCCCCCUGGCAUUGACUGGCAUAGAUGGUGAGACCGGAGGAAGACUUGCAUUGGGCCUGUUGUUCCUGGGCCAGUGGCCAUCAGCCUGUUGCCCAGCCCCUGAUGCGCUGAAGCUCGGGCCCUUCCUCGCGCCCUGGUCUCCUGCACUGAGCUGUGUGAGCUCUUCUGCCCAGGUGAGGCCCAUGGCCUUAAGCGGCAUAGAUGGUGAGCCUGGAGGAAGACUUGUAUUGGGACCCUACAGGCCCCAGGCCAGUGUCUGUCAGCCUGGUGCUCAUCCCCCAGUGCGCUGAAGCUCAGACCCUCCCUGGCACCCUGGUCUCCUGCACUGAGCUGUGAUGGUGAGUCUGGAGGAAGACUUGUGUUGGACCCCCACAGGCCCCAGGCCAGUGUCCAUCAGCCUGGUGCUAAUCCCCCAGUGCUCUGGAGUUUGGACCCUCCCUGGCACCCUGGUCUCCUGCACUGAGCUGUGUGAGCUCUUCCACCCGGGCGGGCCCCCGGCAUUGACUGGCAUAGGUGGUGAGCCCGGAGGAGGACUUGCGUUCGGCCCGCUGGUCCCAGUGUGUCCGGAAUUGGUGGGUUCUUGGUCUCACUGACUUCAAGAAUGAAGCUGCGGACCCUCGCUAUGAUGAUAUGGAAGAAAAGCACUCUUUGGCCUGUUGUGACUGGGACAGUUGACAGCACCCAGGUGUCCUUUAAUGAAAAUGCUCUUGACACCAAUGCAUCCUAGCAUCACAGCUUCAGGAAGCCUUCUCAAGUGUGCAUGGGGAGUACUAUGUCUUUCAUCAAUAAUGAAAUCUUCUGAUUUGUAAGACAUGCUGCCAAGAGAUGUGCCAUUCUAUUAUAAAAGAUCAGUAGCUUCCUUUACCGACGUGUAUAUUCUAUCUAGAACAUUGAGCUAUGGAAGACUCCCACCUAAGGGAAUUAGUUUUACACCUUCAGAUAAAGACUGCUGAGAAGAGCACCCUCUGGUGUUGUCACAGAGGCAAGUGCUACCGCACAGGCAUGCUGCAGUGAAUUUAACUGAUCCUCUGUCCCUGCAACCGUUGUUUAAGGAUGCUAUUCUGAAAAGACUGUGGAGGAAGAAAACCCUUUACCCUGUUGUUCAGGGAGAAACUGACACCACUCAACUGCCUGGCACUGAAAAUGUGGCAUCCAGUCCACUUUACCAUCAGUGUUUAAGGAAACCAUCUCUGAUAAGGAUGACUGAGGAAGAGUACUCUUUGGCUUGUUGACACCAGCACAGCUGACACACCCAGAUAUCUGUUUGGUCUCCUGUGAACUUUCAACCAGGAUUUAAGGAUGCCACUCUGGUUAAAAGCUGAAACAACUUCAAGGAAACUUCAGGGAAAAGAGAAGGCCUGGAAUCUGAUCCUCCACUUCAGAGAACAGGGGUGGUGGAGUCUAUGGCCCUUCUCCUUGAAUCUGAGUGAAAUUAGUGAGUCUUUCAAUCCAAAGACUACAGUCAUACCUCAACUAUCUACAGAGGACUGGUUCCAGGACUCCCAUGGAUCCCAAAAUCCAAGGAUGCUUCGAAUCCCUUAUAUAAAAUGGCAUGGUAUUUGCAUAUAACCUACAUGCAUCUUCAAAUAUGUUAAACCAUCUCUAGAUUACUUAUAAUACCAAAUACAAUGUAAUGCUAUGUAAACAGUUGUUACAAUGUAUUGUCAAAGACAAGCUCUCCUUGCCAAUCCCUGACCAAAUGAGAGAUUCAUGAGCAAAAUAAAUAGUUGCUGAUAUUUAAGGCACUAAGUUUGGGGCAAUGUAUUACACAGCAAUAAAUAACUGGAACAGCAUAGUAAAUUCUAGUUAAAAAUACUAAACUACUAAGUUUUAGUUAACAUACAUGCUCAAGUUAAGGGUGUGGUAUACUAACAACUGCAACUUACUUUGAAAAGCAUAAAAAAAGACACUAGAAGAAGACAGGAUGGAUAGAUGGACAAGAUAGAAGACAAUAACAAAUAGAACAAAAUGUUGUGAAAUUAUAUUCUACAAUUAUUUUAAAGUCUGUGUGGUUUGAAAAAUUGUACGAUAAAAUGAAGAGUGAAAUAAAGACAUUUCCAUACAAACAAAAGCUGAAAGAUUUUGUAGCCAGUAGACCUAUACUUUAGAAAUGUUUAAGAAAUUUUUUCAAGUAAAAGGAAAAUAACACCAGCAACAAACUUGGAUCUACAAAAAGGAAUCUCCACAAAGAAAAAUAAAUAAAAAUGGUAAAUAUGAAGGUAAAUAUAAAGGAAUGUUAUUCUUAGUUUUUAAGUUUCUUCGUAAGACAACUGGCCUUUGAAAGAAAUAGUUUCAAACGCUGCUGUGGAAUCUAUAACACAUAUAGAAGUAAAAUGUUAAGAUCAUAAUACCAAAAAGAAUGAGGGAGAGUAAAUGGAUGUAUACUAUUCCAAAAUUCUUACAUUAUACAUUAAGAGGAAUAAUAUUUUUGAAGGUAGAUUGAGGUAAGUUAAAGGUGCAUAUUGUAAAUCCUAGAAGUAUCACUGGGGGGAAAAAAAACAGAGGGACAAGCUAAUAAUGGAGACAAUACAAAAUUCCAAAAAUGCUCCAUUAACCGAAAAGAAGGCAGAAAAGGAAGAAAAGAUUAGACAAAUAGAAAACAAAUAGUGUCUUAAACACAAUUAUAUUGCCAACUGCAAUAAAUGUAAAUGGACUUAAUCAAAAAGCAACGAUCGUAAAAAGUCAAUCUGAAAGCAAGAUGCAACUAUAUGCUAUCUAAAAGAAAGACAUUAAAUGACCAAUAAGCUGAAAAUAAAAACACAGCAAAAUGAUAUAAUGUGCAAAAAUUAAUCAUAAGAAAGGAAUGGAUACACUAAUAUCAAAGUAGACUUUAGAUAAGGAACAUUACCAGCGAUAAACAGAGACAUUUCAUAAUGAUAAAGACAUCAAUUAAUCAAGGAGAUCUAACAGUCCUAAAUGUGAACACACCUAAGGACACAA